GGUGGCCGUGCCUGUCAGGCCGCGUUAGUCACGGGGCGGCCGCUGCCGCCGAGGGGAGGUGAGCGGGAGCGGCCCGCCGCACCUGCGCGUCCUGCUGAAACGUCCCUCCCCGCGCUAUGGCAUAAACUUACUGGGACAGAAAGGAAUGUGAAGAGUUCAUCUGGUCCAUCCUGUGAUUUUACUACCACAAAGCAGGAUCCAAUCUCCCCAUCUCUUUCCUGUUCUCUUCAUGUGACCCUGGGAGACUGCAAUCCCUGACCCCUCCUCGCUUUCAGUCCUACAUACCUGUUCAAGAAAGGUCUGGAGAAAGAAGGCAAGUAGUGAUGUCAACAUUUCCUCAUAGUUCUUUUUUUCUCCUAAACAACCAUGGUGAAUGAACAGAAUUAAUGGCAGAUGAAAUUCGCAGCCCCUAGGAAAGGAGUACACACUGCAGGGGAGGAUGGAUGGAUGGAUGGUGCUGAAGUGGUGACAUCAGCUCAAAAGAGGGACAUGGCGACAGCUGGCUGAUAAACUGAUGUAUGCAGCUCCAUUGAAGAAGAAGAACCAAUCCCCAACAAACCCCCAAUUUUAGGAUGCUUAAGGAAAGGGGAUACUGAAUGAUGAACAAUGAAAUGUUACUGUAA
Harpia harpyja (harpy eagle) is the source of this 623-nucleotide long non-coding RNA. RefSeq lists it as uncharacterized. NCBI's taxonomy places the organism in Eukaryota, Metazoa, Chordata, Aves, Accipitriformes, Accipitridae. The record is from RefSeq and is a predicted model, not a curated record. The transcript is spliced from 3 exons.